UGCUUCUAAAUAUUAAUGAGAUGCAACUUACGGAAUUGGCCGGCUAGCCUCCGUGAAGCUAUCCUCCAUCUUCUUGAACUUCUCAGCGGGUGCUGCAGCAGUAACUAUCUUAGCGGCUAUCUUGUAGGCCAAUAGAUGUGUAUCAAAUUUCGCCUUGUCUCCCUUGGCCUUCUUCAUCGUGUCCAUAGCGAGGAGUUCCUGCUUUGCAACAGCCCCGGCUACUUUNNN
This 228-nucleotide long non-coding RNA is filed under the name Hordeum vulgare. RNAcentral's name for it is "long non-coding RNA (HVUL_LNC008362)". Lineage: Eukaryota; Viridiplantae; Streptophyta; Magnoliopsida; Poales; Poaceae. The record is from RNAcentral.